AGCGAACGUUUGCGGCGGGCCUAACACAUGCAAGUCGAACGCACUAGCAAUAGUGAGUGGCGCACGGGUGCGUAACACGUGGGUAAUCAACCCUUCAGCUUGGGAUAACGACUUGAAAGGGUCGCUAAUACCGAAUGCGGCGCGAGAGGCUUCGGCUUCUCACGAGAAAGCCUCGCAAGGGGCACUGAAGGACGAGCCUGCGGCCCAUCAGCUAGUUGGUGAGGUAAGAGCUCACCAAGGCGAAGACGGGUAGCUGGUCUGAGAGGAUGAUCAGCCACACUGGAACUGAGACACGGUCCAGACUCCUACGGGAGGCAGCAGUGGGGAAUAUUGCGCAAUGGGCGAAAGCCUGACGCAGCCACGCCGCGUGAGCGAUGAAGGCCU
RNAcentral lists this ribosomal RNA (384 nucleotides) under uncultured bacterium. RNAcentral describes it as "bacterial SSU rRNA". It matches the Rfam family "Bacterial small subunit ribosomal RNA", at positions 29 to 417 of the family's 1533-position model. The record is from RNAcentral.